AUUCAUCCUCUGGCAGGUAUAUGCCAUUGGUGAUAUCUUUUUACUGAAAUGGAUUUGGGCAAGAUGGAAAGAAAAGGAGAUGGGAUCCAAGAAGGAAUCACCCGAUGAAGACGUACAGGCUCCCACUGUGGAUGACUCUCAAUAUGUAUGAUUCUCGAAUUUUGUUUUAUCGCAUUCUGAACUUAGGAGUUAUACUAAACCGAGACCUUAUAAUCUUCUGUGUACCUAAUGCUUAUAUUUGCUGCUGCUUGUACUUUGUCUAUCAUCAUAAAUAAAAUUUCAUGAUUUUCUAUCUUUGGUAGGAAGAUAAGGAAGUUUGGUUACGAAUUUGA
Long non-coding RNA from Hibiscus syriacus, 332 nucleotides. RefSeq lists it as uncharacterized. The transcript is spliced from 4 exons. NCBI's taxonomy places the organism in Eukaryota, Viridiplantae, Streptophyta, Magnoliopsida, Malvales, Malvaceae. The record is from RefSeq and is a predicted model, not a curated record.